AAUGAACGCUGGCGGCAUGCCUAACACAUGCAAGUCGAACGAGACCACCGGGACUAGUGGCGCAUGGGUGUGUCACGCGUGGGAACCUGCACUUAGGUAUGGAAUAACUCUCCGAAAGGGGUGCUAACACCGGAUAAUGUCUUCGGACCAAAGAUUUGUCGAACUUGGAUGGGCACGCGUUGGAUUAGCUAGUUGGUAGGGUAAAAGCCUACCAAGGCGACGAUCCAUAGCUGGGCAGAGAGGAUGAUCAGCCACACUGGGACUGAGACACGGCCCAGACUCCUACGGGAUGCAGCAAUGGGUGAUAUAGGACAGUCGGCUAAGGCCUGAACCAGCAAGGCCGGUAAAGUUAUGAAGGUCUGAAAGUAGUAAAGCUCUUUUACCCGGGAUGAUAAUGACGGUACCGGAAGAAUAAGCUCCGGCUAACUCCGUG
Molecule: ribosomal RNA, 433 nt
Filed under: uncultured bacterium
Lineage: Bacteria
Description: partial 16S ribosomal RNA
Rfam family: Bacterial small subunit ribosomal RNA
Source: RNAcentral